RNAcentral lists this small nuclear RNA (199 nucleotides) under Triticum urartu. Its description in RNAcentral is "U2 spliceosomal RNA". It matches the Rfam family "U2 spliceosomal RNA". Rfam says of the family: U2 is a small nuclear RNA (snRNA) component of the spliceosome (involved in pre-mRNA splicing). The record is from Rfam by way of RNAcentral. Lineage: Eukaryota; Viridiplantae; Streptophyta; Magnoliopsida; Poales; Poaceae.
AUACUUUUCUAGGCUUUUUGGUUAAAAUCAAGUGUAGUAUCGGUUCUUAUCACUUUGAUAUUUGAUAUGUAGAAUUUUAAGUCUACACAAUAUGAAGUUAAUUCUUUUUUGUCGAGAAGAAUCCCCAUAUGUAGCUUGCGGCAUGGGUUCUUUGUGUCGCCUUAGUGUUGCACUACUACUAGGGCUCGGCGCACCCCAA